Molecule: ribosomal RNA, 807 nt
Filed under: uncultured bacterium
Lineage: Bacteria
Description: bacterial SSU rRNA
Rfam family: Bacterial small subunit ribosomal RNA
Source: RNAcentral
AGAGUUUGAUCAUGGCUCAGGACGAACGCUGGCGGCGUGCCUAAUACAUGCAAGUCGAGCGGAGUUGAUGAGGUGCUUGCACCUCUGAGACUUAGCGGCGGACGGGUGAGUAACACGUAGGUAACCUGCCUGUAAGACUGGGAUAACCCACGGAAACGUGAGCUAAUACCGGAUAAUAUUUUGAACCGCAUGGUUCGAAAUUGAAAGGCGGCUUCGGCUGUUGCUUAUGGAUGGACCCGCGUCGCAUUAGCUAGUUGGUGAGGUAACGGCUCACCAAGGCAACGAUGCGUAGCCGACCUGAGAGGGUGAUCGGCCACACUGGGACUGAGACACGGCCCAGACUCCUACGGGAGGCAGCAGUAGGGAAUCUUCCGCAAUGGACGAAAGUCUGACGGAGCAACGCCGCGUGAGUGAUGAAGGUUUUCGGAUCGUAAAGCUCUGUUGCCAGGGAAGAAUGCUUGGGAGAGUAACUGCUCUCAAGGUGACGGUACCUGAGAAGAAAGCCCCGGCUAACUACGUGCCAGCAGCCGCGGUAAUACGUAGGGGGCAAGCGUUGUCCGGAAUUAUUGGGCGUAAAGGGCUCGCAGGCGGUUUCUUAAGUCUGAUGUGAAAGCCCCCGGCUCAACCGGGGAGGGUCAUUGGAAACUGGGAAACUUGAGUGCAGAAGAGGAGAGUGGAAUUCCACGUGUAGCGGUGAAAUGCGUAGAGAUGUGGAGGAACACCAGUGGCGAAGGCGACUCUCUGGUCUGUAACUGACGCUGAGGAGCGAAAGCGUGGGGAGCGAACAGGAUUAGAUACCCUGGUAGU